GAUGAACGCUGGCGGCGUGCCUAAUACAUGCAAGUCGAGCGAACAGAUGAGGUGCUUGCACCUCUCACGUGAGCGGCGGACGGGUGAGUAACACGUGGAUAACCUACCUAUAAGCGGGGGAUAACUUCGGGAAACCGUAGCUAAUACCGCAUAAUAUUUUGAACCGCAUGAUUUAUUCUUAAAAGACGCUUUUGCAUCCAUUUAAAAUGGAACCGCGUUCUCUUUGCUGGUUGGUAAGGUAACGGCUUACAAAGGCAACCUACCGUAACCGACCUGAGAGGGGUAUCGGCCCCCCUGGAACUGGGACCCGGUCCAGCCUCCUACGGGAGGCACAAGAAGGGAAUCUUCCGCAAUGGGCGAAAGCUUGACGGAGCAACGCCGCGUGAGUGAUGAAGGUCUUCGGAUCGUAAACCUCUGUUAUUAGGGAAGAACAAAUGUGUAAGUAACUAUGCACGUCUUGACGGUACCUUAUCAGAAAGCCACGGCUAACUACGUG
Molecule: ribosomal RNA, 496 nt
Filed under: uncultured bacterium
Lineage: Bacteria
Description: partial 16S ribosomal RNA
Rfam family: Bacterial small subunit ribosomal RNA
Source: RNAcentral